UACGGAGGGUGCAAGCGUUAUCCGGAUUUACUGGGUUUAAAGGGUGUGUAGGCGGACUUUUAAGUCAGGGGUGAAAUCCCGAGGCUCAACCUCGGAACUGCCUUUGAUACUAUUGGUCUUGAAUCUUGUUGAGGUGGGCGGAACGGGUCAUGUAGCGGUGAAAUGCGUAGAUAUCACUCGGAAGGCCAAAGGCGAAGGCAGGUUACUGGUACGCAACUGACGCUGAGGCACGAAAGCGUGGGGAGCAAACAGG
This 253-nucleotide ribosomal RNA is filed under the name uncultured bacterium. Its description in RNAcentral is "partial 16S ribosomal RNA". It matches the Rfam family "Bacterial small subunit ribosomal RNA", at positions 524 to 776 of the family's 1533-position model. The record is from RNAcentral.